GAUGAACGCUGGCGGCGUGCUUAACACAUGCAAGUCGAACGAUGAAGCCCAGCUUGCUGGGUGGAUUAGUGGCGAACGGGUGAGUAACACGUGAGUAACCUGCCCUUGACUCUGGGAUAAGCGCUGGAAACGGCGUCUAAUACCCGAUACGAGCUUCCACCGCAGGGUGAGUUGCUGGGAAGAAUUGCGGUCAGGGAUGGACUGGGGGCUUAUCAGGUAGUGGGGGGGGUAGCGGCUCACGAAGCCGACGACGGGUAGCGGGCCUGAGAGGGUGACCGGGGUCACUGGGACUGCGGGAGGCACCAGACUGCUACGGGGGGCAGCAGUGGGGAACAUUGCCCAGUGGGGGCAAGCGUGAUGCGGCGGUGCCGCGUGUGGGACGAAGGCCUUCGGGGCGUAAACCUCUUUUAGCAGAGAAGAAGCGAAAGUGACGGUACCUGCAGAAAAAGCACCGGCUAACUACGUG
This 466-nucleotide ribosomal RNA is filed under the name uncultured bacterium. RNAcentral's name for it is "partial 16S ribosomal RNA". It matches the Rfam family "Bacterial small subunit ribosomal RNA", at positions 28 to 507 of the family's 1533-position model. The record is from RNAcentral.